RNAcentral lists this unclassified non-coding RNA (237 nucleotides) under uncultured Coprinopsis. Its description in RNAcentral is "sequence contains ITS1". Lineage: Eukaryota; Fungi; Basidiomycota; Agaricomycetes; Agaricales; Psathyrellaceae. The record is from RNAcentral.
UUGAAUAAAUCUGACGGGAUUGUAGCUGGCUCGUUAGAGCAUGUGCACGUCCUUGUCACCUUUAUAUUUCCACCUGUGCACUCAUUGUAGUCCUGGAUACCUCUCGUCGCAAGACGGAUGCGGAGUCUGCUGUUUCUUGGAAAGGCUAGCUCUGAAUUUCCAGGUCUACGAUUUUUCAUACACCCCAAAUGAAUGUUAUAGAAUGUAAUCAUAAGGCUUAGUGCCUAUAAAUCAAUA